GUGAAAUCCAAUCUCUAGAACUAUACAAUACAACAACCACCCCAUUUUAGAACGAACUUCGUAGGAACCUGAAUUGUCCGAUUUCAAGGACUAAUCGAUAUCGGAUUGAGUCCAAAACUUGGGGAACAUCAUAAUAUUGUCGGAGGAGUCAUUUGGUGGGUUUUGAGUGAAAUCCAAUCUCCAGAACUAUACAAUACAGCAACCACCCCAUUUAUGAACGAACUUUGUACGAACCUGAAUUGUCCGAUUUCAAGGACCAAUCGAUAUCGGAUUGAGUCCAAAACUCAGGGAACAUCAUAAUAUUGUGGGAGUUGUCAUUUGGUGCCUUUUGGGUAAAAUCCAAUCUCCAGAACUAUACAAUACACCAACCAACCCAUUUCCAGAACGAACUUCGUACGAACCUGAAUUGUCCGAUUUCAAGGACCAAUCGAUAUCGGAUUGAGUCCAAAACUCGGGGAACAUCAGAAUAUUGUGGGAGUUGUCAUUUGGUGCCUUUUCGGUAAAAUCCAAUCCCUACAGCUAUACAAUGCACCAACCACUCCAUUUCAGAACGACCUUCAGACGAACUUGAAUUGUCCGAUUUCGUUGACCAAUCGAUAUCGGAUUGAGUCAAAAACCUGGGGAACAUCAUAAUAUUGUGGGAGGAGUCAUUUGGUGGGUUUUCAGUGAAAUCCAAUCUCUAGAACUAUACAAUACACCAACCACCCCAUUUCAGAACGAACAUCGUGCGAACAUGAAUUGUCCGAUUUCAAGGACCAAUCGAUAUCGGAUUGAGUCCAAAACUUGGGGAACAUCAUCAUAUUGUGGGAGGAGUCAUUUGGGGGGUUUUGAGUGAAAUCCAAUCCCUAGAACUAUACAAUACACCAACCACCCCAUUUCAGAACGAACUUCGUACGAAACUAAAUUGUCCGAUUCGAAGGACCAAUCGAUAUCGGAUUGAGUCCAAAACUUGGGGAACAUCAUAAUAUUGUGGGAGGAGUCAUUUGGUGGGUUUUUAGUGAAAUCCAAUCUCUACAACUAUACAAUACACCAACCACCCCAUUUCAGAACGAACUUCGUACGAACCGGAAUUGUCGGAUUUCAAGGACCAAACGAUAUCGGAUUGAGUCCAAAACUUGGGGAACAUCAUAAUAUCGUGGGAGGAGUCAUUUGGUGGGUUUUGAGUGAAAUCCAAUCUCUAGAACUAUACAAUACACCAACUACCCCAUUUCAGAACAAACUUCGUACGAACAUGAAUUGUCCGAUUUCAAGGACCAAUCGAUAUCGGAUUGAGUCCAAAACUUGGGGAACAUCGUAAUAUUGUGGGAGGAGUCAUUUGGUGGAUUUUGAGUGAAAUCCAAUCUCUAAAGCUAUACAAUACACCAACCACUCCAUUUCAGAUCGAAAUUCGUACGAACUUGAAUUCUCUGAUUUCACAAUCCAAUCGAUAUCGAAUUGAGUCCAAAACUUGGGGAACCUCAUGAUAUUGUGGGAGUCAUUUGGUGGCUUUUGGGUGAAAUCCAAUCCCUACAACUAUACAAUACACCAACCAUUCCAUUUCAGAACGACCUUCAUACGACGUUGAAUUGUCCGAUUUCAUUGACCAAUCGAUAUCGGAUUGAGUCCAAAACCUCGGGAACAUCAUAAUAUUGUGGGAGUUGUCAUUUGGUGCCUUUUGGGUAAAAUCCAAUCUCCAGAACUAUACAAUACACCAACCAACCCAUUUCCAGAACGAACUUCGUACGAACCUGAAUUGUCCGAUUUCAAGGACCAAUCGAUAUCGGAUUGAGUCCAAAACUCGUGGAACAUCAUAAUAUUGUGGGAGUUUUCAUUUGGUGGCUUUUGGGUAAAAUCUAAUCCCUACAGCUAUACAAUGCACCAACCACUCCAUUGCAGAACGACCUUCAUACGAACUUGAAUUGUCCGAUUUGAUGGACCAAUCGAGAUCUGAUUGAGUACAAAACCUGGGGAACAUCAUAAUAUUGUGGGAGGAGUCAUUUGGUGGGUUUUGAGUGAAAUCCAAUCUCUAGAACUAUUCAAUACACCAACCACUAUAUUUCCGAACGAACUUCGUACGAACCUGAAUUGUCCGAUUUCAAGGACCAAUCGAUAUCGGAUUGAGUCCAAAACUUAGGGAACAUCAUAAUAUUGUGGGAGGAGUCAUUUGGUGGAUUUUGAGUGAAAUCCAAUCCCUACAACUAUACAAUACACCAACCACUCCAUUUUAGAACGAACUUCGUACGAACCUGAAUUGCCAAAUUUCGUGGACCGAUCGAUAUCAGAUUGAGUCCAAAACUUGGGGAACAUCAUAAUAUUGUGGGAAGAGUCAUUUGGUGGGAUUUGAGUGAAAUAUAAUCCCUAGAACUAUGCAAUACACCAACCACCCCAUUUAUGAACGAACUUCGUACGAACCUGAAUUGUCCGAUUUGAAGGACCAAUCGAUAUCGGAUUGAGUCCAAAACUCAGGGAACAUCAUAAUAUUGUGGGAGUUGUCAUUUCGUGGCUUUUAGGUAAAAUCCAAUCUCCAGAACUAUACAAUACACUGACCACCCCAUUUAUGAACGAUCUUCGUACGAACCUGAAUUGUCCGAUUUCAAGGACCAAUCGAUAUCGGAUUGAGUCCAAAACUCGGGGAACAUGAUAAUAUUGUGGGAGUUGUCAUUUGGUGGCUUUUGGGUAAAAUCCAAUUUCCAGAACUAUACAAUACACCAACCAACCCAUUUCCAGAACGAACUUCGUACGAACCUGAAUUGUCCGCUUUCAAGGACCAAUCGAUAUUGGAUUGAGUCCAAAACUCGGGGAACAUCAUAAUAUUGUGGGAGUUGUCAUUUGGUGGCUUUUGGGUAAAAUUCAAUCCCUACAGCUAUACAAUGCACCAACCACUCCAUUUCAGAAUGACCUUCAUACGAACUUGAAUUGUCCGAUUUCAUUGACCAAUUGAUAUCGGAUUGAGUCCAAAACCUGGGGAACAUCAUAAUAUUGUGGGAGGAGUCAUUUGGUGGGUUUUGAGUGAAAUCCAAUCUCUAGAACUGUGCAAUACACCAACCACUCCAUUUCCGAACGAACUUCGUACGAACCUGAAUUGUCCGAUUUCAAGGACCAAUCGAUAUCCGAUUGAGUCCAAAACUCGGGGAACAUCAUAAUAUUGUGGGAGGAGUCAUUUGGUGGGUUUUGAGUGAAAUCCAAUCCCUAGAACUAUACAAUACACCGACCACUCCAUUUCAGAACGAACAUCGUACGAACUUGAAUUGCCCGAUUUCAUUGACCAAUCGAUAUCGGAUUGAGUCCAAAACUUGGGGAAAAACAUAAUAUUGUGGGAGGAGUCAAUUGGUUGGUUUUGAGUGAAAUACAAUCAAUAGAACUAUACAAUACACCAACCACACCAUUUCAGAACGAACUUCGUACGAACCUGAAUUGUCCGAUUUCGAGGACCAAUCGAUAUCGGAUUGAGUCCAAAACUUAGGUGAUAACUCAUAUAUUUAUACAUUUAUACCAUCCAUUUCUAGUAUAUUUGUGAUGUUUUUGAGUUAACUUGUUGCGUUUUAUCCUAUUUUGUGUUAGUAUGCAGUUGCAUAUACUUUAGGAUCAAGUUGAAGGCAAAAGAAAUGAAAACAUGCCAUUUUUGGAGCUGACCCUUAUUCAAACGUGGAAACAAGUUUCGUGACCUGUUUUGAAGUCCAAAUAAAGAAUGCAAGGCGAACCUGGCUUGUUUGAAGACUAAGAGCGGAAUGGGAAAGCAAUGGGGAUUUCUAGCCUAAUUUGGAGGUGCCAAAUAAGGCAAAAACGUGCAAAAUAAAGGCUGAUUCAUUAGGAUAUCUUUGGAACAUCUUGCAGCCUUGUUUACCCCAUAAAAACUUGCCUUUUAGCCACUUCUAAAACCCCUAUUUAUUUUGGACGAAUUUCACAACCCUAGAUCUGACUCCUUGGUUAUUCUCUCCUUUCAUGCACACUAAAACCCUAGCCGUCCAUAUAUUUCCACCAUCAGGACUCAGCGCAAGAGGUGGUUCUUGGAGAAGUUCAACAUCAGAAUUGGUUCAAGGGUUUCCUCUCAUGAAUUUAUUUUCACUCAUGUUGUUUAUUUUUGUUUUAAUCUCUUUGAACAUGAUGUGUAACUAAAUUCAUAGCUAGGGAUUUCGAUGUAGCCUUGCAACAUUGAUCCAUGUUUCUAAGUUAAAGUAUUCAGUUCAUCAAUUUGUUUCUUGUUUCAUUCACUGAAUCUAUUGUUCAAUUUGUUUGUCAAUUUUAAUGUUUGAUCACCAUUAGAGUCGCCUACAGAUUAUCUAGACAAGGUUAUAGUAAACAUCAUGCUUAAUCUUGUUAGACAUGUGAAUGAAUGAAGAGAAUGCUAUGCAAACAUCAUGCUGUGUAUUUUCUUUGGUUCUUUAACAUUUUCUUGCAUGCUAAUGACUCUUAACUUGGAACCAAAGUUGAACAUCCCAACUAGGUUGCAGAUUAGGAGAAUUUGAUCAAAACCACACAUCAUAUGGCUGAUCAUAUAUAUGUAAAACGAACUCUGGAAACAGGAUGGUAGUUGAGUACGGUUUAAUUUUAUAAACAUGGAAUUAGUUUUGCAAUGGUGAAUUCGAAAUCCCUGGUCUCUUCCCUAUUCUUUCUACAUCAAUAUAUUAUUCACUACUACAUUCUUUUUGCAUUGGAAGUUAUUUUUCAUUUACAACACAAAAACUACUUUCAAAUUGUCACUUUCAUUUUUAGUUACGGUUCUUUCAAAACUAGUAAUUUAUAGAGGUCCAAUCGGUCCCUGUGGUUCGACACCCUUACUUGUACCAUUAUACUAACCAUAUAUUGGCACCUGGAAGGAACACAACAUUAGGGAACAUUAUAAUAUUAUGGGAGGAGUCAUUUGGGGGAUUUUGAGUGAAAUCCAAUCUUUAGAACUGUGCAAUAGACCAACCAUUCCAUUUCAGAACACAGUUCGCACGAACCGGAAUUGGCCAAUUUCAUGGACCAACGAAUAUCGGAUUGAGUGCAAAACUUGGGGAACAUCGUAAUAUUGUGGGAGGAGUCAUUUGGUGGGUUUUGAGUGAAAUCCAAAAUCUAGAACUAUACAAUACACCAACCACCCCAUUUCAGAACGAACUUCGUACGAACCUGAAUUGUCCGAUUUCAAGGACCAAUCGUUAUCGGAUUGAGUCCAAAACUUGGGGAACAUCAUAAUAUUGUGGGAGUUGUCAUUUGGUGGGUUUUGAGUGAAAUCCAAUCUCUAGAGCUAUACAAUACACCAACCACUCCAUUUCAGAUCGAAAUUCGUAUGAACUUGAAUUCUCUGAUUUCACGGACCAAUCGAUAUCAAAUUGAGUCCAAAACUUGGGGAACCUCAUGAUAUUGUGGGAGGAGUCAUUUGGUGGCUUUUGGGUGAAAUCCAAUCCCUACAACUAUACAAUACACCAACCAUUCCAUUUCAGAAUGACCUUCAUACGACGUUGAAUUGUCCGAUUACAUUGACCAAUCGAUAUCGGAUUGAGUCCAAAACCUGGGGAAUAUCAUAAUAUUGUGGGAGGAGUCAUUUGGUGGGUUUUGAGUGAAAUCCAAUCUCUAGAACUAUACAAUACACCAACCACUCCAUUUCCGAACGAACUUCGUACGAACCUGAAUUGUCCGAUUUAAAGCACCAAUCGAUAUCGGAUUGAGUCCAAAACUUGGGGGACAACAUAAUAUUGUGGGAGGAGUCAUUUGGUGGGUUUUGAGUGAAAUCCAAUCCCUACAACUAUACAAUACACCAACCACUCCAUUUCGGAACGACCUUCGUACAAACUUGAAUUGUCCGAUUUCAUUGACCAAUCGAUAUCGGAUUGAGUCCAAAACUCGGGGAACAUCAUAAUAUUGUGGGAGUUGUCAUUUGGUGCCUUUUGGGUAAAAUCCAAUCUCCAGAACUAUACAAUACACCAACCAACCCAUUUCCAGAACGAACUUCAUACGAACUUGAAUUGUCCGAUAUCAAGGACCAAUCGAUAUCGGAUUGAGUCCAAAACUUGGGGAACAUCAUAAUAUUGUGGGAGGAGUCAUUUGGUGGGUUUUGAGUGAAAUCCAAUCUCUCGAACUAUACAAUACACCAACUACCGCAUUUCCGAACGAACUUCGUACGAAACUGAAUUGUCCGAUUUCAAGCUCCAAUCGAUAUCGGAUUGAGUCCAAAACUUGGGGAACAUCAUAAUAUUGUGGGAGGAGUCAUCUGGUGGGUUUUGAGUGAAAUCCAAUCCCUAGAACUAUACAAUACACCAACCACUCCAUUUUAGAACGAACUUCGUACGAACCUGAAUUGUCCGAUUACAAGGGCCAAUCGAUAUCGGAUUGAGGCCAAAACUUCGGAAACAACAUAAUAUUGUGGGAGGAGUCAUUUGGUGGAUUUUGAGUGAAAUCCAAUCUCUAGAACUAUACAAUACACCAACCACCCCAUGUCACAUGCCGGGAUCAACUCCACCGUAGCACGAUAUUUUCCGCUUUGGGCCCCCCCUCUGCCCGUACGAUUUUGUUUCUGGGAGCUCACGAGUAACUUCCCAGUGGGUCACCCAUCCUGGGAUUGCUCUGGCACUCAACUCGCUUAACUUCGGAGUUCCUACGACUCCGAAGCCAGUGAGCUCCCAAAAGGCCUCGUGCUAGAUGGAUGUGGGUGUGCACAUAUAAGGCACAUCACCCCCUCUCCGUUUGGUUGAUGUGGGAUCUUACAAUCCACCCCCCUUAAGGGCCCGACGUCCUCGUCGGCACACUCGCAGCACACGGCAGAGUGGCUCUGAUACCAAAUUGUCACACCCGGGAUCGGCUCCCCCGUAGCACAAUAUUGUCCGCUUUGGGCCCCCCUCACUGCCCUCACGGUUUUGUUUCUGGGAACUCUUGAGUAACUUCCCAGUGGGUCACCCAUCUUGGGAUUGCUCUAGCCCCCAACUCGCUUAACUUCGGAGUUCCUACGACUCCGAAGCCAGUGAGCUCCCAAAAAGCCUCGUGCUAGAUGGAUGCGAGUGUGCACAUAUAAGGCACAUCACCCCCUCUCCGUUGGUUGAUGUGGGAUCUUACAAUCCACCCCCCUUAAGGGCCCGACGUCCUCGUCGGCACACUCUCACCACACGGCAGAGUGGCUCUGAUACCAAAUUGUCACACCCCUGGAUCGGCUCCGCCGUAGCACGAUAUUGUCCGCUUUGGGCCCCCCUCACUGCCCUCACGGUUUUGUUUCUGGGAACUCACGAGCAACUUCCCAGUGGGUCACCCAUCCUGGGAUUGGUCUAGCCCCCAACUCGCUUAACUUCGGAGUUCCUACGACUCCGAAGCCAAUGAGCUCCCAAAAGGCCUCGUGCUAGAUGGAUGCACAUAUAAGGCACAUCACCCCUUCUCCGUUGGUUGAUGUGAGAUCUUCCAAUCCACCCCCUUAAGGACCCGACAUCCUCGUCGGCACACUCGCACCACACGGCAGAGUGGCUCUGAUACCAAAUUGUCACAUCCAGGGAUCGGCUCCGCCGUAGCACGAUAUUGUCCGCUUUGGGCCCCCCUCUCUGCCCUUACGGUUUUGUUUCUAGGAACUCACGAGCAACUUCCCAGUGGGUCACUCAUCCUGGGAUUGCUCUAGCCCCUAACUCGCUUAACUUCGGAGUUCCUACGACUCCGAAGCCGGUGAGCUCCCAAAAGGCCUCGUGCUAGAUGGAUGCGGGUGUGCACAUAUAAGGCACAUCACCCCCUCUCCGUUGGUUGAUGUGGGAUCUUACACCCCAUUUAUGAACGAACUUCGUACGAACCUGAAUUUUCCGAUUUCAAGGACCAAUCGAUAUUGGAUUGAGUCCAAAACUUGGGUAACAUCAUAAUAUUAUGGGAGGAGUCAUUUGGUGGGCUUUGAGUGAAAUCCAAUCCCUAGAACUUACAAUACACCAACCACUCCAUUUCAUGACGAACUUCGUAUGAACAUGGAUUGUCCGAUUUCAUGGACCAGUCGAUAUCGGAUUGAGUCCAAAACUUGGGAAACGUUGUAAUAUUGAGGGAGGAGUGAUUUGUUGCAUUUUGAGUGAAAUCCAAUCCCCAGAACUAUACAAUACACCAACCACUCCAUUUAAGAACGAACUUCGUACGAACCUGAAUUGUCAGAUUUCGAGGACCAAUCGAUAUCGUAUUGAGUCCAAAACUUGGGGAACAUGAUAGUAUUGUGGGAGGAGUCAUUUGGUGGGUUUUGAGUGAAAUCCAAUCCCUAGAACUAUACAAUACAUUAGCCAUUCCAUUUCAAAACGAACUUCGUACAAACCUGAAUUGUCAAAUUUCGUGGACCAAUCGAUAUCGGAUUGAGUCCAAAACUUGGGGAACAUCAUAAUAUUGUGGGAGGAGUCAUUUGGUGGCUUUUGAGUGAAAUCCAAUCUCUAGAACUAUACAAUACACCAACUACCCCAUUUCAGAACGAACUUCGUUGGAACCUGAAUAGUCCGAUUUCAAGGACCAGUCGAUAUCGGAUUGAGUCCAAAACUUGGGGAACAUCAUAAUAUUGUGGGAGGAGUCAUUUGGUGGCUUUUGAGUGAAAUCCAAUCUUUAGAACUAUACAAUACACCAACCACCCCAUUUCAGAACGAACUUCGUACGAACCUGAAUUGUCCAAUUUCAAGGACCAACAGAUAUCGGAUUGAGUCCGAAACUUGGGGAACAUCAUAAUAUUGGGGAGUUGUCAUUUGGUGGGUUUUGAGUGAAAUCCAAUCCCUAGAACUAUACAAUACACCAAAAACUUCAUUUCAGAAAAAACUUGUUGAGCCUAUUGUUAACAACUAAAAUGAGUUAUUAAAAACAGCAACUUUAAUUCUCGCAAGUGCACGAACCGUUUAUAGUAUAGCUUAUGUAAAUACGAGGUCGAUCCCACGGAGAAUGGUAACUUGGUUCCAAGUUAAAUUACUUAGAAUGUUAGAAAAAUAUAGAACAAAGAAACUGACUAACUAGCUAAAGGCAUGGUCGAAUUCAACAAUGCCUCUUGCUAAUUACUCAAGGUCUAGGACAGAAUCCUAGCACCACACACGCACUCGAAAUGGGGGGUUUUUUUGUUGAAAUGAAAACAAGAAAGUGAAAUGAAAGUGCUCGAAAGUGAACACUGGCAGCAAUCAACAAGUUGUGAAACAAUGAUUGAGAGGUGUUAGAGCCUUGGAAUCCACCACUAGUUUUCCUAUCCAAGUUAUGAAUGCAUAGAAAUUGACUCAAGCUUCAUUAGCAAUAGAUUAUCGCAUACAAGCCUAUGGUAUCUAGGUGCAGGAUGCAUGAUUCUCCUAAGGCAUGUGAUUAUGCAUGGUAUCUACACAACACGUGAUCUCUAAUAUGCAACCUAAGCAUGGUAUCUACUUAGAAUAAAGCAUACAAGAGUCAUUAAGCUCCUUGAGAAUAUGAUAAUCACACAAGUCCUAGAACAUGGUAUCUGUCCUAGUCAACCUAUGGUUAUUAACCCCUUGAAUGAUUCUUAGGCCAUUCAUGUGUUGCUUGUGAAAGGAGAGUAGAAUUGGUGAAUCUAAACCCCUUCCCAACCUGUGCUAGAUGCAUAAAAUCCUAGUUAGCUACUCCAAGAGAACAUACAUCAAGCACAUAAUAAACUAGAGAUUAACAACUUAAUAAUAAAAGCAAGGAAAUCAAUUAACUAUAAAAUCAUCCAUAACAUUGAAUAUUCAUGACUAGGGCUUCACCCUAAGCCCUAACUAAAUGGAUUAGUUAGACAUAACUAUGAAUACAGAAAAUAAGAAAUACAUAGAUAGGAUAAAGAGACGAGAAGAACUAGAUGAUGGGAGCAAGGAAGUUCCCAGGACAGCUCCAAGCUCCCUUCUCUCUUUGUGGUGAAUCUGAAUGUGUAUAUGAAAGUAAUGGAUGAAAUGAAUGUGUGUGUCUGCCCUCUCUCCCCUUGAAAGAGUGUGCAACUCUCUAUUUAUAGAGUGCAAUUUCGUGCUCCCCUUUGGCUGGUGAAGCACACCUCUCUUAGCUGCUGCCAACUGCUCUAGCUGCCCAUACAUGCCUGUUGCUCCAGCUGCCCAUACUUGCCUGUUGCUCCAGCUGCCCAUACUUGCCUGUUGGACUUUUCUUGGUUUUUGAGUUCCCAUACUGAUUUGUCUCCCAUGUGUGGCUGCUCUAAUGUGUAGCACAUGGCUCUAGGGAUGUAGCCACAUUAAAUAUGAUGGCAGCCAACAUGACAUUUCUGCGAACUUGGUUCAGUCUUUGACGUGUUGAGGGCUCCAGUUGUAUCCAAUUGGGCUGAACUUUGGAUAUGUUAUAAUAGACGCCCAUUGGAACAACGUCUAUGAAGGAUGUCUCCUCAUCUGACCUGUGUAAGUUACUGAAAUGAGGCCUGCAAGAUGACCUACGAAACUGGACUGACAAGGAGUGUGGCACAAAUUGGUUUUGUCUUUAAGCUCAUAUUCCACUUGUGCCACUCAGCCCUUAACAUGCAUGAAUUGUAUCAAAUGUCAUCCCCUUGCUAUAUUAACCUACAAAGCACACAAACAUAGGUAAGAGACUCAAAAUAAAGAGAAGCUAACAAAAUUACUAAGGAAAGAAGGCAUGCAAAUGUGUGAAAUUAUGAACUUAUCAAAUACCCCAAAACUUAGAUUUUGCUAGUCCUCGAGCAAAACAAAAUAAAACUACAACUUAGGAAACAGGAAAUAAGCAACUAGCCUUCCAAACAAUAUCCUCAAAGAAUCAUCAGUGUAAAUGGUUCCAAAGAAACACAACAAUCACAAUCUAAGUUCCACACAUGAUUCACGAGAAAGCAAAGCUAGCAUUGACACCCUUAAGUGUAGUGUGUGAAUGCCAAAUCCGAACAACACCUGCAUCUCAAAUAAGUACAUGUGCACACACUUAGAGCAAAAUCAAGAAUUCCGAACCCCAUAAGCUCAUUAUCCAAUCUGCUCUCCACAGUAAUACCAUGCAACACCAAGGAUCAAAAGGACUUUACAAGGGUAGUAAUGAGGUUUAGGGUAGUGGUUGAAUGAAAGAAGGGAUAUGAGAUAUACAAUAUUUUGAGCACACUUAAAGCACAGGUAAGAGCAUAAGAGAGUACUGAACUUUGUAACAAGCAAGGAACACAUACAUGAGCAGAUUUUCAACAUAAUUUCAGCACCUUGAAAUGUGUUUAUUUGGCCUAAUUUUGUGGCUCUUUACCCUAGAUCACAAUGAUGUUCUCCUUAUAACACCCUAGGGCCGUGACUACAUUGGUCACACUUCAUUACCUCUUUUGAUUAGUUACCAAUACCCCCAAACUUAUUUCUUUUCAACACUUGGGUUACGGCACCAAUUAUUCACUUUUGCUCUAUAAACCUUGCAUUCUUUAUAACUCUCUUUUGAAGAUAACUUUAAUUGCUCAUACAAUAAGUAAGGAUAAGAAAACAGAGGCUCAUUAUGGUAGGAUUCAUUUACACAAAGAAAGGCUUAACGUAGGCUCAAAUGGGAUGACUAGGGAUGAAUACAUGUAGAGGGAUGGUUAGAAAGGCUCAAACGGUUCAAACAUGGCCUAAAUCACUUCCUAAGCAUUGUAUGGCAACAAAAUGUCUCAAGAAAUAUUCAAAUAAGUUCUAGAGUACGAAACCAAGAUCAUGAGAUAACUAGAAUUGCAUAACGUCUCUAAGUAGCAAGAUGUUGGACUAACUUGGCAAAGUGCUCAAUAAGUGCAAGGAUGGCAUGCAGGACAAAGUUAACUUAGAAUCACACGCAGACCUUAAACAAUGACUAUCAAUUUCUGAAAAACCAUAAUAGUAUUAAAUCUAAGUCUUUAUCAUAGGUGUUUGGAAGGAUAACGAAACAACACACAAAAUCCUGCGUUUUUAGACAGUAGACACACUCAAAAAUUUUAAAAUUUGACAAUUUGAAACAGCAUAACUAAAUCCUUCCCCCCAAACUUAAAUGAAACAUUGUCCUCAAUGUUUAGAGUGUAAGAAAAAGCAAUGCCUCAUUAAUGAAAGGAAAGAAGACAAGGGAAAGACAUAACCAAAGGUUAGAUUUCAGAAAAACUCCCCUUUGAAGCGAUUAGGAUGCAAGCAAGCUUCCUCGCAUAUUCUAUCUUCUCCUCAUCACCUUGGGUUGCCUCCCAAGAAGCGCUAAGUUUCACGUCGUCAGCCGGACGUCCAAACUCUGGUGAGCUUUAAGAGAGUGGUGGAGGCUCCUUGAGUGCUUGAGACUCAAUAUUGGCAUCAAAGUUGGCAUCGAAGUAAGGUUUCAACCGAUGUCCAUUCACCUUGAAGGUGCUGCCAUCCUUAAUGUUUUGAAUCUCCACUGCGCCAUGAUUAAACACAUUAGUAAUAACAAAAGGGCCAAUCCACCGAGAACAAAGCUUACCUGGGAAGAGCUUAAGGCGUGAAUUGAAUAAGAGAACCUUCUGCCCUUUCUCAAACGUCUUCCUAAGAAUUUUCUUGUCGUGAUAUUGCUUUGUUUUCUCCUUGUAAAGCUUCGCAUUCUUAUACGCUUCAUGUCUCAACUCCUCCAGCUCAUUGAGUUGAAGCCUCCUCUUCUCACCAGCGGCUUUCAUAUCAAAAUUGAAGGCCUUGAUUGCCCAAUAAGCCCUGUGCUCAAGCUCCACUGGUAAGUGACAAGGUUUACCGAAAAUAAGUCUAUACGGAGACAUACCUAUAGGGGUCUUAUAAGCAGUCCUAUAAGCCCACAAUGCAUCAUCCAAACGCAUGGACCAAUCCUUCCUUGUGGUGUUCACUGUCUUUUCAAGUAUGUACUUAAUCUCCCUAUUGCUUAUAUCAACCUGCCCACUAGUUUGAGGAUGAUAGGGUGUUGCCACCUUAUGCGUGAUUCCAUAUCUCUUCAAGAGUGCUGCAAAAGCUUGGUUAACAAAGUGGGAGCCACCAUCACUAAUGAUUGCUCUAGGUGUGCCAAACCUUGUAAAAAUAUUUCCUUUGAGAAAACCGAUCACAACUUUAGCAUCAUUAGUUCUAGUGGCAAUGGCUUCCACCCAUUUAGAAACAUAAUCGACAGAAACUAAUAUAUAUUCAAAUCCAUAAGAGGUAGGAAAAGGGCCCAUGAAAUCAAUUCCCCAAACAUCAAAUAUAUCAAUGAUUAAGAUAUUGGUGAGAGGCAUCUGGUUUCUAGCAUGUAAAUUACCCAUCCGUUGGCAUCUAUCACAUGAAGCACAAAAAACAUAAGCAUCCUUAAAAAGGGUAGGCCAAAAGAAACCUGAUUGUAGCACCUUGCUGGCAGUCUUCUUUGCUCCAAAAUGGCCUCCGCAUGCGUGGGAGUGACAAAACUCCAGAAUGCUCUUAAAAUCACCUUCAGGCACACACCUUCGAAUUACUUGGUCUGGACAAUGCUUGAAUAGAUAGGGAUCAUCCCAAAAGUAGUAUCUUGCUUGCUUCCUAAGCUUGUCACGUUGGAACGUAGAUAACCCUGUAGGGAGUUCGUUAGUGCACAAAUAGUUAACAAUAUCAGCAAACCAAGGCAAUGGAUUGAGAGAAUUCAAAGCACAAAUGGAGAAGAGUUGCUCAUCAGGGAAGCUUUCACGCAAUGGCAAUGAAUCCUCCUCUUCGUUAGAUACAUGCACCAAUCUACUCAAGUGAUCAGCCACGACAUUCUCACUUCCUUUCUUAUCUUUUAUCUCCAAGUCAAACUCUUGCAACAAGAGAAUCCAUCUAAUGAGUCGCGGUUUGGCAUCCUUCUUAGCUAACAAGUAUUUCAAUGCUGCAUGAUCAGUGUAAACAAUAACCUUGUUAGUAAUCAAAUAUGAUCUAAACUUCUCUAAAGCAAAUAUGACGGCUAACAACUCCUUCUCUGUGGUGGAAUAGUUGAGUUGGGCAUCGUUGAGGGUUCUACUAGCAUAGUAGAUGGCAUGUGGCUUCUUAUCAACUCGCUGUCCCAAAACAGCUCCAACAACAUAAUCUGAGGCAUCACACAUCAAUUCAAAGGGCAAGCUCCAAUCCGGUGGUAUAAUGACUGGGGCAGUUGUGAGCAUCUUCUUCAAAGCAUUGAAAGCAUUCUCACAGUCUUGAUCAAACACAAAAUCCAUGUCCUUGGCAAGGAGAUUGCACAUAGGCCUUGCAAUCUUAGAAAAAUCCUUAAUGAAACGCCUAUAGAAACCUGCAUGGCCAAGGAAAGAACGUACUUCUUUGACAGAAGUAGGUGAGGGCAUAGAGGCAAUCAAAUCAAUCUUAGCUUUAUCUACCUCAAUUCCUUUACUAGAGAUGACAUGACCAAGAACUAUGCCUUGGUUAACAAUAAAAUGACAUUUUUCCCAAUUAAGCACAAGGUUAGUAUGUUCACAUCUAGCCAACACCUUGGAUAAGUUAUGCAAGCAUUGAUCAAAAGAAUCACCAAAGACAGAGAAGUCAUCCAUGAAUACCUCAAUGAACCUUUCUACCAUGUCGGAGAAAAUGCUCAUCAUGCACCUUUGAAAAGUGGCUGGGGCGUUACAGAGACCAAAAGGCAUCCUCCUAUAGGCGAAAGUGCCAAAGGGACAUGUGAACGUGGUCGAUCCGCAGGCCGUGCAGCUAUGGCGAUUUGGUUGUAGCCUGAAUAUCCAUCAAGGAAGCAAUAGUGGCUAUGCCCAGCUAAUCUCUCAAGCAUUUGAUCAAUGAAUGGAAGAGGAAAGUGAUCUUUGCUUGUUGCUGUGUUGAGCUUCCUAUAAUCAAUGCAAACUCUCCAGCCCGUGGUCAUCCGUGUAGGUACAAGCUCGUUUGCUUCAUUCUUCACCACUGUGAUACCUGACUUCUUGGGGACAACUUGCACUGGGCUCACCCAUUGACUGUCAGAAAUAGGGUAAAUAAUACCAACAUUUAAAAGCUUCAUUACCUCUUUUCUUACCACCUCCUUCAUGUUUGGAUUGAGACGUCUUUGGGCAUCCCUCUUAGGCAUUGCAUUGUCUUCCAAUAAUAUCUUGUGCAUGCACAGUGUUGGGCUUAUGCCUUUGAUAUUUGCAAUGCUCCACCCAAUCGCAGUUUUGUGCUCUUUUAGAACUCUCAAAAGCUUCUUUUCAUCAUUUGGUCCGAGAUGUGAGGCAAUGAUAACAGGUAGAGUCUCAUUUUCACCUAAAUAAGCAUAUUUAAGGUGUUUUGGCAAUUGCUUUAAUUCCAACUCUGGUGCCUGCACAAUAGAAGGUAAAACCUUAUUAGUAGGUGGGGGUAAUGAUUCAAAUUGGUUUGCAUACCUCUUUCCAAUUUCUAUGUAGCUAUCCAUGCUGCAAACAAGCUCAAGAAGUAAAAAGAUCACAGCCUCAAAGCUGUCCACUUCUUCUUUCCUUAUGCUUUGUGUGAUGCAUGCUUCAAUGGGCUCCAAAUAACUCAUUGGCAGUGCUUCUUUCACCAUAGUAUCAAUUGCAUCAAGAUGGAAAACUUCAUGCUCAUCACUUGGAAACUUGGAGGCUUCAAACACUUUGAAUGCUAUUGUCUCAUCAAACACAUUCAUGGUCAAUGUACCCUUCUUCACAUCAAUAAUAGCACCGGCAGUUGCCAUGAAUGGCCGACCUAGAAUGAGUGGUAACUGAUUGUCAUGAAUUGGUGCUUCUUCCAUCUCCAACACCAAGAAAUCUGCUGGCAAAAUUAGCUCUUCCACUUUCACCAAAACAUCUUCUAGAAUGCCCUUAGGGUACCUAAUAGUUCUAUCUGCCAAUUGAAUGCUCACAGAUGUGGCUUGCAACUCACCAAGGUUAAGUUUCUCAUAAACAUGAUAUGGCAUAAGAUUUAUAGAAGCACCAAGAUCAAGCAAAGCUUUUUGAAACUUAAAAUCACCAACUAUGCAAGGUAUAGAAAACGAACCUGGAUCCUUUAGCUUUGGAGGCAGGUUUCUUUGUAACACUGCACUUACCUCUUCACUCAAUGCAACUUGUUCAUGCUCUUUGAAUCUCCUCUUGUUAGUGCAUAGAUCCUUCAAAAAAUUUGCAUACUUUGGAAUCUGAGUAAUGGCAUUGAGCAAUGGGAUGUUGAUUUGCACCUUCUUGAAUGUUUCCAUUAUCUCAUCCAAGCCUUGAUCUUUCUUUGACUUUGAUAACCUGCUGGGAAAGGGUGCAAUAGGCCUAAAAGCAUUAGUUGAAAUUGGAACUUGAUUAGCAUUAGAUGAUACCUUAGGGCCUGUGCUCUUUCCAGGAGCAUUGAUGGACUGAUUGUUGGAAGCUGUGGGCUGCCCAUGUGGUGGCUGAAUGAUCUCCACGUUUUCUCCAUCUUCUUGUUCUUCAUUGGCAUCUCCAACCUUAUUAUCAACUUGUUUACCACUUCUCAAGAUGUGUACUGCUUUAGCAUGCUCUUGAUGCCUUGGAUUCACCUCCGUUUGGCUUGGGAAAGUUCCGGAUGCUCUAUUGCUCAUGGAGGAUGCAAUCUGCCCAACUUGCACUUCUAGUUUGUUCACUGCAUUUUGAAGAUUCUGAUUGGUUUGCAUCUGUUGCCCCAUGAACUUCUUGAACAUGUCUUGCAAUUCUCCCAUUUGAUCACCCCUUUGCUCUUGCACUUGUUGCGGAGCUUGUUGGAAUUGCCUUUGUUGUGUUUGGAAUCCUGGGGGAGGUCCUUGAGAUUGUUGCACAUUUGAAUUGUUGCUCCACCUGAAAUUAGGAUGAUUUCUCCACCCCGGAUUGUAUGUGUUUGAGUAAGGAUCAUUAUUAGGAUUCCUUGCUUGAAGGGAAUUUGCUUGUUCUAGCAUGUGCUCCGCAAAAGAUUGGUCUACAAACUUCCACUUUGUUUCCUAGAGGGCCAGUCACUGCCUGUUGAAGCAAAGAACACAUAACAUCAAGUUUUGCAGCAAUUUCAUUAUUAGUACUUACCUCAGAGACCACAGCUUUCAUAGGAGCUCCUCUUCCUUUAUUGUGGCUCCAUUGUUGAGAGUUAGCACUCAAGGAUUCAAAGAGAGUAAAAGCCUCAUCUGCUGUUUUGUUCAUCAGUCCUUCUCCACUUGUUGAAUCUACCAUCAUCCUUUCGGAAUCAAGUAAACCUUCAUAGAAAGAUUGCAUUUGCAUCCAACUCUCUAUGUUGUGGUGUGGGCAAGAACUUAUCAUCUCCUUGUACCUCUCCCAACAUUCAUGAAAAGCUUCUCCUUCCUUUUGUGUGAAACCAAGAAUUUCCUUUCUAAUCUUGUUAGUCUUUUGAGCCGGAAAAAAUUUCUGCAAAAACUUAUUAGAAAGCUCUUCCCAAGUAUGAAUUGAAGCAUUAGGAAAAGAGUAUAACCAAGACUUAGCUUUAUCUUUUAAACUGAAUGGGAAUAGCCUCAUCUUAAUCUGCUCAUCAUCAAGGUUUUGAAUUUUGAUCGUAGCACAUAUUUCAAAGAAUUGCUUAAUAUGCAUGUAAGGAUCCUCAGUGGUAUUACCAUAAUAAGUUGGAAGAAGAUGAAUCAUACCACUUUUAAGCUCAAACCUGUCAACUGUGAGUUGAGGAUAGACGAUGCAUAAAGGUUGAUCGGUGACUUUGGGAAUGGAAAACUCACGCAGGGAUUUUCUUGGUUGGACAACAAGCACACCACCUCCUUCAUCAUUGUUGUUGUUCGAAAUCUCUACCAUGUUGCUUGAACCUUCAGAUUCGUAACUUUUAGAUUCAACGCUUGAAGAACUAUAGUUCUUCCUCAAACCAGCAUGCACAGCAGCGGUUCUUGGUGAAAGUGGCUCAGGUGAACUUUGCUCCUGGUCAGAUUCGGACAUGCACACACCAAGGAAGUCAAUUCAGUGCCUUCAAUGGAGAUAACAACAAAAUACAAAACUGAAUACUAAAAGAAAAACCAACGAAAAGAAACAAAUGAAAUAAACAAAAACAAAACAAUCAAAGUAAUCUAACUAUAGCACCAUCAUUACCGGUUCCCCGGCAACGGCGCCAAAAACUUGUUGAGCCUAUUGUUAACAACUAAAAUGAGUUAUUAAAAACAGCAACUUUAAUUCUCGCAAGUGCACGAACCGUUUAUAGUAUAGCUUAUGUAAAUACGAGGUCGAUCCCACGGAGAGUGGUAACUUGGUUCCAAGUUAAAUUACUUAGAAUGUUAGAAAAAUAUAGAACAAAGAAACUGACUAACUAGCUAAAGGCAUGGUCGAAUUCAACAAUGCCUCUUGCUAAUUACUCAAGGUCUAGGACAGAAUCCUAGCACCACACACGCACUCGAAAUGGGGGGUUUUGUUGUUGAAAUGAAAACAAGGAAGUGAAAUGAAAGUGCUCGAAAGUGAACACUGGUAGCAAUCAACAAGUUGUGAAACAAUGAUUGAGAGGUGUUAGAGCCUUGGAAUCCACCACUAGUUUUCCUAUCCAAGUUAUGAAUGCAUAGAAAUUGACUCAAGCUUCAUUAGCAAUAGAUUAUCGCAUACAAGCCUAUGGUAUCUAGGUGCAGGAUGCAUGAUUCUCCUAAGGCAUGUGAUUAUGCAUGGUAUCUACACAACACGUGAUCUCUAAUAUGCAACCUAAGCAUGGUAUCUACUUAGAAUAAAGCAUACAAGAGUCAUUAAGCUCCUUGAGAAUAUGAUAAUCACACAAGUCCUAGAACAUGGUAUCUGUCCUAGUCAACCUAUGGUUAUUAACCCCUUGAAUGAUUCUUAGGCCAUUCAUGUGUUGCUUGUGAAAGGAGAGUAGAAUAGGUGAAUCUAAACCCCUUCCCAACCUAUGCUAGAUGCAUAAAAUCCUAGUUAGCUACUCCAAGAGAACAUACAUCAAGCACAUAAUAAACUAGAGAUUAACAACUUGAUAAUAAAAGCAAGGAAAUCAAUUAACUAUAAAAUCAUCCAUAACAUUGAAUAUUCAUGACUAGGGCUUCAUCCUAAGCCCUAACUAAAUGGAUUAGUUAGACAUAACUAUGAAUACAGAAAAUAAGAAAUACAUAGAUAGGAUAAAGAGACGAGAAGAACUAGAUGAUGGGAGCAAGGAAGUUCCCAGGACAGCUCCAAGCUCCCUUCUCUCUUUGUGGUGAAUCUGAAUGUGUGUAUGAAAGUAAUGGAUGAAAUGAAUGUGUGUGUCUGCCCUCUCUCCCCUUGAAUGAGUGUGCAACUCUCUAUUUAUAGAGUGCAAUUUCGUGCUCCCCUUUGGCUGGUGAAGCACACCUCUCUUAGCUGCUGCCAACUGCUCUAGCUGCCCAUACAUGCCUGUUGCUCCAGCUGCCCAUACUUGCCUGUUGGACUUUUCUUGGUUUUUGAGUUCCCAUACUGAUUUGUCUCCCAUGUGUGGCUGCUCUAAUGUGUAGCACAUGGCUCUAGGGAUGUAGCCACAUUAAAUAUGAUGGCAGCCAACACGAUAUUUCUGUGAACUUGGUUCAGUCUUUGACGUGUUGAGGGCUCCAGUUUUAUCCAAUUGGGCUGAAAUUUGGAUAUGUUAUAAUAGACACCCAUUGGAACAACGUCUAUGAAGGAUGUCUCCUCAUCCGACCUGUGUAAGUUACUGAAAUGAGGCCUGCAAGAUGACCUACGAAACUGGACUGACAAGGAGUGUGGCACAAAUUGGUUUUGUCUUUAAGCUCAUAUUCCUCUUGUGCCACUCAGCCCUUAACAUGCAUGAAUUGUAUCAAAUGUCAUCCCCUUGCUAUCUUAACCUACAAAGCACACAAACAUAGGUAAGAGACUCAAAAUAAAGAGAAGCUAACAAAAUUACUAAGGAAAGAAGGCAUGCAAAUGUGUGAAAUUAUGAACUUAUCAAAUACCCCCAAACUUAGAUUUUGCUAGUCCUCGAGCAAAACAAAAUAAAACUACAACUUAGGAAACAGGAAAUAAGCAACUAGCCUUCCAAACAAUAUCCUCAAAGAAUCAUCAGUGUAAAUGGUUCGAAAGAAACACAACAAUCACAAUCUAAGUUCCACACAUGAUUCACGAGAAAGCAAAGCUAGCAUUGACACCCUUAAGUGUAGUGUGUGAAUGCCAAAUCCGAACAACACCUGCAUCUCAAAUAAGUACAUGUGCACACACUUAGAGCAAAAUCAAGAAUGCCGAACCCCAUAAGCUCAUUAUUCAAUCUGCUCUCCAUAGUAAUACCAUGCAACACCAAGGAUCAAAAGGAGUUUACAAGGGUAGUAAUGAGGUUUAGGGUAGUGGUUGAAUGAAAGAAGGGAUAUGAGAUAUACAAUAUUUUGAGCACACUUAAAGCACAGGUAAGAGCAUAAGAGAGUACUGAACUUUGUAACAAGCAAGGAACACAUACAUGAGCAGAUUUUCAACAUAAUUUCAGCACCUUGAAAUGUGUUUAUUUGGCCUAAUUUUGUGGCUCUUACCCUAGAUCACAUUGAAAUGUGNNNNNNNNNNNNNNNNNNNNNNNNNNNNNNNNNNNNNNNNNNNNNNNNNNNNNNNNNNNNNNNNNNNNNNNNNNNNNNNNNNNNNNNNNNNNNNNNNNNNNNNNNNNNNNCUCCUCGCUCAUUGCGACAGUAGUGUAUUUCAACACUUGGGUUACGGCACCAAUUAUUCACUUUUGCUCAAUAAACCUUGCAUUCUUUAUAACUCUCUUUUGAAGAUAACUUUAAUUGCUCAUACAAUAAGUAAGGAUAAGAAAACAGAGGCUCAUUAUGGUAGGAUUCGUUUACACAAAGAAAGGCUUAACAUAGGCUCAAAUGGGAUGACUAGGGAUGAAUACAUGUAGAGGGAUGGUUAGAAAGGCUCAAACGGUUCAAACAUGGCCUAAAUCACUUCCUAAGCAUUGUAUGGCAACAAAAUGUCUCAAGAAAUAUUCAAAUAAGUUCUAGAGUACGAAACCAAGAUCAUGAGAUAAGUCCGAUUUCAAGGACCAAUCGAUAUCAGAACGAACUUCGUUGGAACCUGAAUAGUCCGAUUUCAAGGACCAAUCGAUAUCGGAUUGAGUCCAAAACUUGGGGAACAUCAUAAUAUUGUGGGAGGAGUCAUUUGGUGGCUUUUGAGUGAAAUCCAAACUUUAGAACUAUACAAUACACCAACCACCCCAUUUCAGAACGAACUUCGUACGAACCUGAAUUGUCCGAUUUCAAGGACCAAUCGAUAUCGGAUUGAGUCCAAAACUUGGGGAACAUCAUAAUAUUGUGGGAGUUGUCAUUUGGUGGGUUUUGAGUGAAAUCCAAUCCCUAGAACUAUACAAUACACCAAAAACUUCAUUUCAGAACGAACUUCGUACGAACUUGAAUUGUCUGAUUUCAUGGACCAUUCGAUAUCAGAUUGAGUCCAAAACUUGGGGGACAUCAUAGUAUUGUGGGAGGAGUCAUUUGGUGGCUUUUGGGUGAAAUCCAAUCCAGACAACUAUAAAAUACACCGACCACUCCAUUUCAGAACGACCUUCAUACGAACUUGAACUGUCAGAUUUCAUUGACUAAUCGAUAUCGGAUUGAGUCCAAAACUUGGGGAACACCAUAAUAUUAUGGGAGGAGUCAUUUGGUGGGUUUUGAGUGAAAUCCAAUCUCUAGAACUAUACAAUACACCGACCACCCCAUUUCAGAACAAACUUCGUACGAACCUGAAUUGUCCGAUUUCAAGGACCAAUCGAUAUCGGAUUGAGUCCAAAACUUGGGGAACAUCAUAAUAUUGUGGGAGGAGUCAUUUGGUGGGUUUUGAGUGAAAUCCAAUCCCUAGAACUAUACAAUACACCAACCACCCCAUUUCAAAACGAACUUCGUACGAAACUGAAUUGUCUGAUUUCAUUGACCAAUUGAUCACAGAUUGAGUCCAAAACUUGGGGAACAUCAUAAUAUUGUGGGAGGAGUCAUUUGGUAAGUUUUCAGUGCAAUACAAUCCCUAGAACUAUACAAUACACCAACCACUCCAUUUCAGAACGAACUUCGUACAAACCUGAAUUGUCAAAUUUCGUGGACCACUCGAUAUCCGAUUGAGUCCGAAACUUGGGGAACAUCAUAAUAUUGUGGGAGGAGUCAUUUGGUGGGUUUGAGUGAAAUCCAAUCUCUAGAACUANNNNNNNNNNNNNNNNNNNNNNNNNNNNNNNNNNNNNNNNNNNNNNNNNNNNNNNNNNNNNNNNNNNNNNNNNNNNNNNNNNNNNNNNNNNNNNNNNNNNUGGGGAACAUCAUAAUAUUGUGGGAGGAGUCAUUUGGUGGGUUUCGAGUGAAAUCCAAUCUCUAGAACUAUACAACACACCAACCACCCCAUUACAGAACGAACUUAGUAGGAACCUGAUUUGUCCGAUUUCAAGGACCAAUAGAUAUAGGAUUGACUCCAAAACUUGGGGAACAUCAUAAUAUUGUGGGAGGAGUCAUUUGGUGUGUUUUUAGUGAAAUCCAUUCUCUAGAACUAUACAAUACACCAACCACCCCAUUUCAGAAGGAACUUCGUACGAGCCUGAAUUGUCCGAUUUCAAGGACAAAUCGAUAUCGGAUUGAGUCCAAAACUUGGGGAACAUCAUAAUAUUGUGGGAGGAGUCAUUUGGUGGGUUUUGAGUGAAAUUCAAUCUCUAGAAUGAUACAAUACACCAACCACCCCAUUUCAGAAUGAACUUCGUACGAAUCUGAAUUGUCAGAUUUCAAGGUCCAAUCGAUAUCGGAUUGAGUCCAAAAAUUGGGGAACAUCAUAAUAUUGUGGGAGUUGUCAUUUGGCGGGUUUUGAAUGAAAUCCAAUCCCUAGAACUAUCCAAUACACCAACCCCUCCACUUCAGAAGGAACUUCAUACGAACUUGAAUUGUCAAAUUUCGUAGACCAAUCGAUAUCGGAUUGUGUCCAAAACUUGGGGAACAUCAUAAUAUUGUGGGAGCCGUCAUUUGGUGGGUUUUGAGUGAAAUCCAAUCUUUAGAACUAUACAAUACACCAACCACUCCAUUUCAUAACGAACUUCGUACUAACCUGCAUUCUCAAAUUUCGUGGACUGAUCGAUAUCGGAUUGAGUCCAAAACUUGGGGAACAUUAUAAUAUUGUGGGAGGAGUCACUUGGUGGGUUUUGAGUGAAAUCCAAUCUCUAGAACUAUACAAUACACCAACCACCCCAUUUCAGAAUGAACUUCGUAGGAACCUGAAUUGUCCGAUUUGAAGGACCAAUCGACAUCGGAUUGAGUCCAAAACUUGGGGAACAUCAUAAUAUUGUGGGAGGAGUCAUUUGGUAAGUUUUGAGUGAAAUACAAUCCCUAGAACCAUACAAUACACCACCCACUACAUUUCAGAACGAACUUCGUACGAACUUGAAUUGUCAAAUUUCGUGGACCGAUCGAUAUCGGAUUGAGUCCAAAACUUGGGGAGCAUAAUAAUCUUGUGGGAGGAGUCAUUUGGGGGGUUUUGAGUGAAAUCCAUUCUCUAGAACCAUACAAUACACCAACCACCCCAUUUCAGAACGAACUUCGUACGAACCUGAAUUGUCCGAUUUGAAGGACCAAUCGAUAUCGGAUUGAGUCCAAAACUUGGGGAACAACAUAAUAUUGUGGGAGGAGUCAUUUGGUUCGUUUUGAUUGAAAUCCAAUCUCUAGAACUAUACAAUACACCAACCACCCCAUUUCAGAACGAACUUCGUAGGAACCUGAAUUGUCCGAUUUCACGGACCAAUCGAUAUCGGAUUGAGUCCAAAACUUGGGGAACAUCAUAAUAUUGUUGGAGGAGUCAUUUGGUGGGUUUUGAGUGAAAUCCAAUCUCUAGAAUUAUACAAUACACCAACCACCCCAUUUCAGAACGAACUUCGUACGAACCUGAANNNNNNNNNNNNNNNNNNNNNNNNNNNNNNNNNNNNNNNNNNNNNNNNNNNNNNNNNNNNNNNNNNNNNNNNNNNNNNNNNNNNNNNNNNNNNNNNNNNNNNNNNNNNNNNNNNNNNNNNNNNNNNNNNNNNNNNNNNNNNNNNNNNNNNNNNNNNNNNNNNNNNNNNNNNNNNNUAAGGACCAAUCGAUAUCGGAUCAGUCCAAAACUUGGGGAACAUCAUAAUAUUGUGGAGGGAGCCAUUUGGUAAUUUUUGAGUGAAAUACAUUCCCAAGAACUAUACAAUUCACCACCCAGUCAAUUUCAGAACGAAAUUGAUGGGAACUUGAAUAUUCAAAUUUCAUGGACCAAUUAAUAUCGGAUUGAUUCCAAAACUUGGGGAAAAUCAUAAUUUGUUGGGGGUAGUCAUUUGGGGGGUUUUGAGUGAAAUCCAUUCUCUGGAACUAUCCAAUACACCAACCACCCCAUUUCAGAAGGAAUUUGGUACGAACCUGAAUGUCCGAUUUGAAGGACCAAUCGAUAUCGGAUUGAGUCAAAAACUUGGGGAACACCAUAAUAUUGUGGGAGGAGUCAUUUGGUUCGUUUUGAGUGAAAUCCAAUCUCUAGAAUUAUACAAUACACCAACCACCCCAUUUCAGAAUGAACUUCGUAGGAACCUGAAUUGUCCGAUUUCAAGGAGCAAUCGAUAUCGGAUUGAGUCCAAAACUUGGGGAACAUCAUAAUCUUGUGGGACGAGUCAUUUGGUGGGUUCUGAGUGAAAUCCAAUCUUUAGAACUAUACAAUACACCAACCACCCCAUUUCAGAAUGAACUUCGUCGGAACCUGAAUUGUCCGAUUUUAAGGACCAAUCGAUAUCGGAUUGAGUCCAAAACUUGGGGAACAUCAUAAUAUUGUGGAAGGAACCAUUUGGUAAGUUUUGAGUGAAAUACAAUCCCCAGAACUAUACAAUUCACCACCCACUCAAUUUCAGAACGAACUUCGUGCGAACUUGAAUUGUCAAAUUUCGUGGACCGAUCGAUAUCGGAUUGAGUCCAAAACUUGGGGAGCAUCAUAAUCUUGUGGGAUUAGUCAUUUGGGGGGUUUUGAGUGAAAUCCAUUCUCUAGAACUAUACAAUACACCAACCACCCCAUUUCAGAACGAACUUCGUACGAACCUGAAUGUCCGAUUUGAAGGACCAAUCGAUAUCGGAUUGAGUCCAAAACUUGGGGAACACCAUAAUAUUGUGGGAGGAGUCAUUUGGUUCAUUUUGAGUGAAAUCCAAUCUCUAGAAUAUACAAUACACCAACCACCCCAUUUCAGAAUGAACUUCGUACGAACCUGAAUUGUCCAAUUUCAAGGACCAAUCGAUAUCGGAUGAGUACAAAAGUUGGGGAACGUCAUAAUAUUGUGGGAGGAGUCAUUUGGUGGGUUUUGAGUGAAAUACAAUCUCUAGACCUAUACAAUACACCAACCACCCCAUUUCAGAACGAACUUCGUACGAACCUGAAUUGUCCGAUUUCAAGGACCAAUCGAUAUCGGAUUGAGUCCAAAACUUGGGGAACAUCAGAAUAUUGUGGGAGCAGUCAUUUGGUGCGUUUUGAGUGAAAUCCAAUCUUUAGAACUAUACAAUACACCAACCACCUCAUUUCAGAACGAACUUCGUACGAACCUGAAUUGUCCAAUUUCAAGGACCAAUCGAUAUCGGACUGAGUACAAAGGUUGGGGAACGUCAUAAUAUUGUGGGAGGAGUCAUUUGGUGGGUUUUGAGUGAAAUCCAAUCUCUAGACCUAUACAAUACACCAACCUCCUCAUUUUAGAACGCACUUCGUACGAAUCUGAAUUGUCCGAUUUGAAGGACCAAUUGAUAUCGGAUUGAGUCCAAAACUUGUGGAACAUCAUAAUCUUGUGGGAGGAGUCAUUUGGUGGUUUUGAGUGAAAUCCAAUCUCUAGAACUAUACAAUACACCAACCACCCCAUUUCAGAAUGAACUUCGUAGGAACCUGAAUUGUCCGAUUUCAAGGACCAAUCGAUAUCGGAUUGAGUCCAAAACUUGGGGAACAUCAUAAUAUUGUGGGAGGAGUCAUUUGGUAAGUUUUGAGUGAAAUACAAUCCCCAGAACCAUACAAUUCACUGCCCAUUCCAUUUAGAACGAAUUAGUAAAAACGUGAAUUGUCAAAUUUUGUGGACCGAUGGAUUCGGAUUGAGUCCAAAACUUGGGGAGCAUCAUAAUCUUGUGGGAGGAGUCAUUUGGGGGGUUUUGAGUGAAAUCCAUUCUCUAGAACUAUACAAUACACCAACCACCCCAUUUCAGAACGAACUUCGUACGAACCUGAAUUGUCCGAUUUGAAGGACCAAUCGAUAUCGGAUUGAGUGCAAAACUUGGGGAACACCAUAAUAUUGUGGGGGGAGUCAUUUGGUUCGUUUUGAGUGAAAUCCAAUCUCUAGAAUUAUACAAUACACCAACCACCCCAUUUAAAAAUGAACUUCGUAGGAACCUGAAUUGUCCGAUUUCAAGGACCAAUCGAUAUCGGACUGAGUCUAAAGGUUGGGGAACAUCAUAAUAUUGUGGGAGGAGUCAUUUGUUGGUUUUGAGUGAUAUCCAAUCUCUAAAACUAUACAAUACACCAACCACCCCACUUAUGAACGAACUUCGUACGAACCUGAAUUGUCCGAUUUCAAGUACCAAUCGAUAUCGGAUUGAGUCUGAAACUUGGGGAACAUCAUAAUAUUGUGGGAGGAAUCAUUUGGUGGGUUUUGACUGAAAUCCAAUCUCUAGACCUAUACAAUACACCAACCUCCUCAUUUCAGAACGAACUUCGUACGAACUUGAAUUGUCCGAUUUCAAGGACCAAUUGAUAUCGGAUUGAGUCCAAAACUUGGGGAACAUCAUAAUCUUGUGGGAGGAGAAAUUUGGUGGUUUUGAGUGAAAUCCAAUCUCUAGAACUAUACAAUACACCAACGACUCCAUUUCAGAACGAACUUCGUACGAACCUGAAUUGUCCGAUUUCAUUGACCAGUCGAUAACGGAUUGAGUCCAAAAGAUGGGGAACAUCAUAAUAUUGUGGGAGGAGUCAUUUGGUAUGUUUUGAGUGAAAUACAAUCCCUAGAACUAUACAAUACACCAACCACUCCAUUUCAGAAUGAACUUCGUACGAACCUGAAUUGUCAAAUUUCGUGGACCGAUCGAUAUCGGAUUGAGUCCAAAACUUGGGGAACAUCAUAAUAUUGUGGGAGGAGUCAUUUGGUGCGUUUUGAGUGAAAUCCAACCUCUAGAGCUAUACAAUGCACCAAUCACCCCAUUUCAGAACGAACUUCGUACGAACAUGAAUUGUCCGAUUUCAAGGACCAAUCGAUAUCGGAUUGAGUCCAAAAGUUGGGAAACAUCAUAAUAUUGUGGGAGGAGUCAUUUGGUGGGUUUUGGGUGAAAUCCAAUCUCUAGACCUAUACAAUACACCAACCUCCUCAUUUCAGAACGAACUUCGUACGAACCUGAAUUGUCCGAUUUCAAGGACCAAUCUAUAUCGGACAGAGUCCAAAAGUUGGGGAACGUCAUAAUAUUGUGGGAGGAAUCAUUUGGUAAGUUUUGAGUGAAAUACAAUCCCCAGAACCAUACAAUACACCAACCACCCCAUUUCAGAACGAACUUUGUACGAACCUGAAUUCUCCGAUUUCAAGGACCAAUCGAUAUUGGAUUGAGUCCAAAACUUGGGGAGCAACAUAAUCUUGUGGGAGGAGUAAUUUGGUGGGUUUUUAGUGAAAUCCAAUCUCUAGAACUAUACAAUACACCACCCACCCCAUUUCAGAACGAACUUCGUACGGACCUGAAUUGUCCGAUUUCAAGGACCAAUCGAUAUCGGAUUGAGUCCAAAACUUGGGGAACAUUAUAAUAUUGUGGGAGGAGUCACUUGGUGGGUUUUGAGUGAAAUCCAAUCUCUAGAACUAUACAAUACCCCAACCACCCCAUUUCAGAACGAACUUCGUAGGAACCUGAAUUGUCCGAUUUCAUGGACCAAUCGAUAUCGGAUUGAGUCCAAAACUUGGGGAAUAUCAUAAUAUUGUGGGAGGAGUCAUUUGGUGGGUUUUGAGUGAAAUCCAAUCUCUAGAACUGUACAAUACACCAACCACCCCAUUUCAGAAC
RNAcentral lists this long non-coding RNA (27552 nucleotides) under Prunus persica (peach). RNAcentral describes it as "long non-coding RNA (PPER_LNC001010)". The stretch from base 16869 to 16975 matches the Rfam family "Plant small nucleolar RNA R71". The record is from RNAcentral. Lineage: Eukaryota; Viridiplantae; Streptophyta; Magnoliopsida; Rosales; Rosaceae.